GGAUUGUGGCUCAGCGGUAGAGCGCUCCCUAGCACAUGCGAGGCCCUGGGUUCGAGCCUCAGCACCA
This 67-nucleotide transfer RNA is filed under the name Marmota monax (woodchuck). Its description in RNAcentral is "tRNA.Undet". The record is from RNAcentral. Lineage: Eukaryota; Metazoa; Chordata; Mammalia; Rodentia; Sciuridae.